This 497-nucleotide ribosomal RNA is filed under the name uncultured bacterium. RNAcentral describes it as "bacterial SSU rRNA". It matches the Rfam family "Bacterial small subunit ribosomal RNA", at positions 15 to 507 of the family's 1533-position model. The record is from RNAcentral.
GAUCCUGGCUCAGGAUGAACGCUAGCGGCAGGCCUAAUACAUGCAAGUCGAGGGGCAGCAGGAAUAGCAAUAUUUGCUGGCGACCGGCGCACGGGUGCGUAACACGUAUACAAUCUACCUUUAACUGGGGGAUAGCCCGGAGAAAUCCGGAUUAAUACCCCAUAACAGUAGGAGAGGCAUCUCUCUUAUUUGAAAGUUCCGACGGUUAGAGAUGAGUAUGCGCCUGAUUAGUUUGUUGGUGAGGUAACGGCUCACCAAGACUACGAUCAGUAGGGGAUCUGAGAGGAUUAACCCCCCACACGGAUACUGAGACACGGAUCCGACUCCUACGGGAGGCAGCAGUAAGGAAUAUUGGACAAUGGGCGCAAGCCUGAUCCAGCCAUGCCGCGUGCAGGAAGAAGGCCCUAUGGGUCGUAAACUGCUUUUACACCGGAGAAAACCCCCUUUCGUGAAAGGGGCUGAUAGUAUGGUGAGAAUAAGCAUCGGCUAACUUCGUG